GGGGCUGUAGCUCAAUGGCAGAGCACUUCUCUGACAUUUAUGAGGUCCUGGGUUCAAUCCCCAGUACCA
This 69-nucleotide transfer RNA is filed under the name Heterocephalus glaber (naked mole-rat). It matches the Rfam family "tRNA". From Rfam's summary of the family: Transfer RNA (tRNA) molecules are approximately 80 nucleotides in length. Their secondary structure includes four short double-helical elements and three loops (D, anti-codon, and T loops). Lineage: Eukaryota; Metazoa; Chordata; Mammalia; Rodentia; Bathyergidae. The record is from Rfam by way of RNAcentral.